This 543-nucleotide ribosomal RNA is filed under the name Fusarium oxysporum. RNAcentral describes it as "eukaryotic LSU rRNA". The stretch from base 190 to 343 matches the Rfam family "5.8S ribosomal RNA". The record is from RNAcentral. RNAcentral also lists the same sequence under 1 other name. Lineage: Eukaryota; Fungi; Ascomycota; Sordariomycetes; Hypocreales; Nectriaceae.
GUAACAAGGUCUCCGUUGGUGAACCAGCGGAGGGAUCAUUACCGAGUUUACAACUCCCAAACCCCUGUGAACAUACCACUUGUUGCCUCGGCGGAUCAGCCCGCUCCCGGUAAAACGGGACGGCCCGCCAGAGGACCCCUAAACUCUGUUUCUAUAUGUAACUUCUGAGUAAAACCAUAAAUAAAUCAAAACUUUCAACAACGGAUCUCUUGGUUCUGGCAUCGAUGAAGAACGCAGCAAAAUGCGAUAAGUAAUGUGAAUUGCAGAAUUCAGUGAAUCAUCGAAUCUUUGAACGCACAUUGCGCCCGCCAGUAUUCUGGCGGGCAUGCCUGUUCGAGCGUCAUUUCAACCCUCAAGCACAGCUUGGUGUUGGGACUCGCGUUAAUUCGCGUUCCUCAAAUUGAUUGGCGGUCACGUCGAGCUUCCAUAGCGUAGUAGUAAAACCCUCGUUACUGGUAAUCGUCGCGGCCACGCCGUUAAACCCCAACUUCUGAAUGUUGACCUCGGAUCAGGUAGGAAUACCCGCUGAACUUAAGCAUAUCA